This 496-nucleotide ribosomal RNA is filed under the name uncultured bacterium. RNAcentral describes it as "partial 16S ribosomal RNA". It matches the Rfam family "Bacterial small subunit ribosomal RNA", at positions 28 to 506 of the family's 1533-position model. The record is from RNAcentral.
GAUGAACGCUGGCGGCGUGCCUAAUACAUGCAAGUCGAGCGAACAGACGAGGAGCUUGCUCCUCUGACGUUAGCGGCGGACGGGUGAGUAACACGUGGAUAACCUACCUAUAAGACUGGGAUAACUUCGGGAAACCGGAGCUAAUACCGGAUAAUAUAUUGAACCGCAUGGUUCAAUAGUGAAAGACGGUUUUGCUGUCACUUAUAGAUGGAUCCGCGCCGCAUUAGCUAGUUGGUAAGGUAACGGCUUACCAAGGCAACGAUGCGUAGCCGACCUGAGAGGGUGAUCGGCCACACUGAAACUGAGACACGGUCCAGACUCCUACGGGAGGCAGCAGUAGGGAAUCUUCCGAAAUGGGCGAAAGCCUGACGGAGCAACGCCGCGCGAGUGAUGAAGGUCUUCGGAUCGUAAAACUCUGUUAUUAGGGAAGAACAAAUGUGUAAGUAACUAUGCACGUCUUGACGGUACCUAAUCAGAAAGCCACGGCUAACUACGU